GAUGAACGCUGGCGGCGUGCCUAAUACAUGCAAGUCGAGCGAACAGAUAAGGAGCUUGCUCCUUUGACGUUAGCGGCGGACGGGUGAGUAACACGUGGAUAACCUACCUAUAAGACUGGGAUAACUUCGGGAAACCGGAGCUAAUACCGGAUAACAUAUUGAACCGCAUAGUUCAAUAGUGAAAGGCGGCUUUGCUGUCACUUAUAGAUGGAUCCGCGCCGUAUUAGCUAGUUGGUAAGGUAACGGCUUACCAAGGCAACGAUACGUAGCCGACCUGAGAGGGUGAUCGGCCACACUGGAACUGAGACACGGUCCAGACUCCUACGGGAGGCAGCAGUAGGGAAUCUUCCGCAAUGGGCGAAAGCCUGACGGAGCAACGCCGCGUGAGUGAUGAAGGUCUUCGGAUCGUAAAACUCUGUUAUCAGGGAAGAACAAAUGUGUAAGUAACUGUGCACAUCUUGACGGUACCUGAUCAGAAAGCCACGGCUAACUACGUG
RNAcentral lists this ribosomal RNA (497 nucleotides) under uncultured bacterium. Its description in RNAcentral is "partial 16S ribosomal RNA". It matches the Rfam family "Bacterial small subunit ribosomal RNA", at positions 28 to 507 of the family's 1533-position model. The record is from RNAcentral.